GGAGACAGAGGGAGAGAGGGAUGGAGAGAUGAAGAGAGAGAGGGGUGGAGACAGAGGCAGAGAGGGAUGGAGAGAUGAAGAGAGAAGUGGAGACAGAGGGAGAGAGAGAUGGAGAGAUGAUGAGAGAGAUGGUUGGAGACAGAGGGAGAGAGAGAUGAAGAGAGAGAGAGGGGUGGAGACAGAGGCAGAGAGGGAUGUUGAGAUGAAGAGAGAGAGAGGUGGAGACAGAGGGAGAGAGGGAUGGAGAGAUGAAGAGAGAGAGAGGGGUGGAGACAGAGGGAGAGAGGGGUGAAGAGAUGAAGGAGAGAGGUGGAGACAGAGGGAGAGAGGGAUGGAGAGAUGAAGAGAGAGAGAGGUGGAGACAGAGGGAGAGAGAGAUGGAGAGAUGAAGGAGAGAGGUGGAGACAGAAAAAGAGAGGGAUGAAGAGAGAAGUGGAGAGAGAGGGGUGGAGACAGAGGGAGAGAGGGAUGGAGAGAUGAAGGAGAGAGGUGGAGACAGAAGGAGAGAGGGAUGGAGAGAUGAAGGAGAGAGGUGGAGACAGAAGGAGAGAGGGAUGGAGAGAUGAAGGAGAGAGGUGGAGACAGAAGGAGAGAGGGAUGGAGAGAUGAAGGAGAGAGGUGGAGACAGAAGGAGAGAGGGAUGGAGAGAUGAAGUAGAGGGGUGGAGACAGAGGGAGAGAGGGAUGGAGAGAUUUUUUAUUUAUUUUUAUUUUACCUUUAUUUAACCAGGUAGGCUAGUUGAGAACAAGUUCUCAUUUACAACUGCGACCUGGCCAAGAUAAAGCAUAGCAGUGUGAACAGACAACACAGAGUUACACAUGGAGUAAACAAUUAACAAGUCAAUAACACAGUAGAAAAAAAAGAAAGAGUCUAUAUACAAUGUGUGCAAAAGGCAUGAGGAGGUAGGCAAAUAAUUACAAUUUAGCAGAUUAACACUGGAGUGAUAAAUGAUCAGAUGGUCAUGUACAGGUAGAGAUACUGGUGUGCAAAAGAGCAUAAAAUAAAAUAAAUAAAAACAGUAUGGGGAUGAGGUAGGUAAAUUGGGUGGGCUAUUUACCAAUGGACUAUGUACAGCUGCAGCGAUCGGUUAGCUGCACAGAUAGCAGAUGUUUAAACUUGGUGAGGGAGAUAAAAGUCUCCAACUUCAGCGAUUUUUGCAAUUCGUUCCAGUCACAGGCAGCAGAGAACUGGAAGGAAAGGUGGCCAAAAGAGGUGUUGGCUUUAGGGAUGAUCAGUGAGAUACACCUGCUGGAGCACGUGCUACGGGUGGGUGUUGCCAUCGUGACCAGUGAACUGAGAUAAGGCGGAGCUUUACCUAGCAUGGGCUUGUAGAUGACCUGGAGCCAGUGGGUCUGGCGAUGAAUAUGUAGCGAGGGCCAGCCGACUAGAGCAUACAGGUCGCAGUGGUGGGUGGUAUAAGGUGCUUUAGUAACAAAAUGGAUGGCACAGUGAUAAACUGCAUCCAGUUUGCUGAGUAGAGUAUUGGAAGCUAUUUUGUAGAUGACAUCGCCGAAGUUGAGGAUCGGUUUGGCGGCGUGAGUGAAGGAGGCUUUGUUGCGAAAUAGAAAGCCGACUCUAGAUUUGAUUUCAGAUUGGAGAUGUUUGAUAUGAGUCUGGAAGGAGAGUUUGCAGUCUAGCCAGACACCUAGGUACUUAUAGAUGUCCACGUAUUCUAGGUCGGAACCAUUCAGGGUGGUGAUGCUAGUCGGGCGUGCGGGUGCAGGCAGCAAACGGUUGAAAAGCAUGCAUUUGGUUUUACUAGCAUUUCAGAGCAGUUGGAGGCCACGGAAGGAGUGUUGUAUGGCAUUGAAGCUCGUUUGGAGGUUAGAUAGCACAGUGUCCAAGGAAGGGCCAGAAGUAUACAGAAAGGUGUCGUCUGCGUAGAGGUGGAUCAGGGAAUCUCCCGCAGCAAGAAUAACAUCAUUGAUAUAUACAGAGAAAAGAGUCGGCCCGAGAAUUGAACCCUGUGGCACCCCCAUAGAUACUGCCAGAGGACCGGACAACAUGCCCUCCGAUUUGACACACUGAACUCUAUCUGCAAAGUAGUUGGUGAACCAGGCAAGGCAGUCAUUAGAAAACCGAGGCUACUGAGUCUGCCGAUAAGAAUAUAAUGAUUGACAGAGUCGAAAGCUUUGGCCAGGUCGAUGAAGACAGCUGCACAGUACUGUCUUUUAUCGAUGGCGGUUAUGAUAUCGUUUAGUACCUUGAGCGUGGCUGAGGUGCACCCGUGACCGGCUCGGAAACCAGAUUGCACGCGGAGAAGGUACGGUGGGAUUCGAGAUGAUCUGAUCUGUUUGUUAACUUGGCUUUCGAAGACCUUAGAUGGGCAUGGCAGGAUGGAUAUAGGUCUGUAACGUUUGGGUCCAGGGUUUCUCCCCCUUUGAAGAGGGGGAUGACAGCGGCAGCUUUCCAAGAGAGAGAGGGGUGGA
Molecule: long non-coding RNA, 2429 nt
Organism: Oncorhynchus tshawytscha (Chinook salmon)
Lineage: Eukaryota; Metazoa; Chordata; Actinopteri; Salmoniformes; Salmonidae
Source: Ensembl